GACGAACGCUGGCGGCGUGCUUAACACAUGCAAGUCGAACGGAAAGGCCCUGCUUCCAGGGUACUCGAGUGGCGAACGGGUGAGUAACACGUGGGUGAUCUGCCCUGCACUUCGGGAUAAGCCUGGGAAACUGGGUCUAAUACCGGAUAGGAGCCAUUUUUAGUGUGAUGGUUGGAAAGUUUUUUCGGUGUAGGAUGAGCUCGCGGCCUAUCAGCUUGUUGGUGGGGUAAUGGCCUACCAAGGCGGCGACGGGUAGCCGGCCUGAGAGGGUGGACGGCCACAUUGGGACUGAGAUACGGCCCAGACUCCUACGGGAGGCAUCAGUGGGGAAUAUUGCACAAUGGGCGCAAGCCUGAUGCAGCGACGCCGCGUGGGGGAUGACGGCCUUCGGGUUGUAAACUCCUUUCGCUAGGGACGAAGCUUUUUGUGACGGUACCUAGAUAAGAAGCACCGGCUAACUACGUG
RNAcentral lists this ribosomal RNA (465 nucleotides) under uncultured bacterium. Its description in RNAcentral is "partial 16S ribosomal RNA". It matches the Rfam family "Bacterial small subunit ribosomal RNA", at positions 28 to 507 of the family's 1533-position model. The record is from RNAcentral.